Pseudomyrmex gracilis is the source of this 3558-nucleotide RNA transcript. RefSeq lists it as uncharacterized. The transcript has 7 exons. Lineage: Eukaryota; Metazoa; Arthropoda; Insecta; Hymenoptera; Formicidae. The record is from RefSeq and is a predicted model, not a curated record.
GCUGUUCGCCUGUGUGCGUAUCCUCUCACCUGCUGCUGCAUGCUGCAAAAGUCUUAAAACUGGCAUCUCUGCUCUCGAGUGUUUCAUCAACCGUCGCGCAGAUACGAUGUCCUAAGACACAAACGACGCGAGUAACAAACGGUUGGGCACUCAACGGCGUAGUUAGACGUUAGUCAGUCGAGAAAGUGAUCUACGAGCCUUCGCGAUGAAAUGGCGCGUUCCGCGUACGAGAUCGUGAAUUAACAAAGGUUCGUGCACUUGAGUCGUGCAAUACGUAAACCACGCGUAUUAUUAAGUGCAUAUGUGUAUUUAUAUUUAGUGGAACUUUAUUAUUUUACCUAAAUAUAUAUUUUAUUCGUAUAUACUCGCUAAUAAACUGUGAGUGUUACUUACCUGUCCUGGACGAUCCUAUCGUUGAUCUGAAAAGAAAGGAAUAGGGACUAAAUCGGAAAGGAAGGAUGGACGAUGGUGCUCAGCCGUUCCAAAACAAGGCACCUGGCGACCGUGAUACCUAAAAAAAUUUCCCUCAAACUCCAACGUAAGGCAGCAGUGGAUAAAUGCAAUAUACAAGUUAAAUCAUCAAGAACUUGCUCCACAGUUGCCAAAAUAUGCAAAAAUUUGUCUUCGACAUUUCGACAGUGCUUCUAUAGAACAAUUCGGUUUUACUCAAAUACGAUUAAAACCGAAUUCUGUGCCGUCAAUAUUUCCAAAUACAUCGGAUAAAGAAAGAUAUAUGUAACUAAAAUACAGAUUGAGUGGAAAUGGUACUUAUUAAGACAGAUAUAUGUAUGGCUGUAUGGAGCGGACACGGAUGUCGAUGUUAAGGCUUACCAAAAAACUUACAUUAUACUCGCAAAAAAGAAGAAGAAAUAGUGACGGUCGUCGUUAAGUGGUGAUUAGCAGUCAGAUAGUGAGACUACAGGUUCGACCAUCACUUUACAAUAUAAAGAAGCAACUGAAAAGGGCUGAGAUUCAAAACGAAAAUCAACGCAACGAUAUUCGAUCAUGUGACGCCAUUCAAACACAUAUAUUAUCGACAAAUGGGUCUCCGAAAUUAAACGCUUGUUGUAAGAUCUCUCAUUAUCCAAAAUUUUUACAUGAUCCCAAUCAAAAUCGUGAGAGAAAUGGAUUUUGUGGUCCGUGAUCACAGAUCUCUGAGACGAAUUUCUGUUGAUAUGAUACUUAUGUUCUUUUAUUCUAAUUUGUAGCAUUCUGCCCGUCUGACCGACAUAAGAAGCGUCGCAAUCGCGGCAGUUAAUUUAAUAUACAACAGAAGGACGUGAGGAAUAGGGUAGAGGAUCUUUAAGAACGUUAAUAAAUUUUGACAAUUUGUCAGUACAAUAAAAAGCUGAACGUGUGUUAGAGUCUUUAGGAAAUGCUGUUAAAUAUUUAUCUGAGAAAUUAUUAAUAUAAGGUAUCACAAACCAGUGAGGCUGUGCACUGUUCUCCGUAUCGUCCAGAAGGAACUUCUUAGAGUUGUUAUUUAUAAAAAAAUUGCGUUUUAGUCGUUGUUUAAAAGUGUUGUAAAUAAAGUCAAAUGGAUAGUUAUUGUCAAUUAAAAUGUUAAAAACGAUGUCAAAAUUUUUUGAGUGAAAAGUCGAGUGUGAUAAAAAGAAAACUCUGUCAACGAGACUUAUGACCGUGCCUCUUUUUUGGCUGAUAGGGUGAUUUGAAAAAUAAUUUAGAUAUCUGCCUGAAAAUGUAGGCUUGUGAUACCAAUCAUGAAUUAGUUAUUAGUUUAUUAUCUUUCUUUAUGGUAGUGAUGUCUAAAAAGUUCAGCCUGUCAAGACCAACUUCUAUGGUAAAUUGCAGUCGAGAGUGGUAUGAAUUGUAAUAUGUAAGAACUACGUCAAAUUGAUCCUUCGGAACCAUGAGAGCUAUAUCAUCAACGUAUCUAAUGUGUAAAGGUGGAGUAAAAGGUAGCAUGUUGAUAAUGGACGAUUCUUGCAUAACAAUGUCUGCUAGGAUGGGAGAGAGAGGAGAGCCCAUAGGUGCACCAAAGGCAAGCUAGUGUUAUUGCUUAUCAAAUGCCAUCGUUUCUCUAAACCUUUGAUUGCAAGAUCUAGUGGAAUGUUGGUGAACAGAGAUAUAAAAUCAAGCGAGAUUAACUCAAAAGAUUCAUCAAAGGUCACUUGGGAGAUUCGAUUGGCAAGGUGAAAACUAUUGUAAACAAAACUCGAAGAAGGAACAAUGCUUUUUGAAAUAAUUUUAUGCAAUAAUAUUGCUAAAUUAUGUAGCGGGCUAUUAACAGAAGAGAUAAUAAUUCUGAGAGGAUUGCCUGGUUUGUGGAUCUUAGGGACACCAUAGGCUCUAGAAAGGAUGGUGAUGGAAGUGUUCAGAUUUUUGUAAGUGAGUUCGAGAUAUGAUCGCGAGACUUCCAUCUAUUUAAAAUGUUCUUGAGAGAUCUUACAGAAUUAAUAGGAUUGUUUUUGACUGGUGCGUAUGUAUUGAUGUCCGAUAAUGUGUUUUCCAUUUGCUGCGUGUAUAAAUCUCUAUCCAUCGCAACAACCACAUUGCCCUUAUCUGCUUUUGUGAAAACAGUAGAAGGAUGAUUUUUUAUAAAUUGUAAAGUAGAUUUAAGAGCUAGUUUUACUUCUUUAUCAUGGUGAUUUAAUAAAUUUAGUGGUUUUCAUCUGGUGUAAGAUAGAGACAAACCGACUACGACAUUCAGUUUUUUUAUUAUCAUGAAGAUGUUUGAUGUUCUCAAAAUUUUUAAUAAAUUCAAUAAUUAAUUUAGAAUUGUUUUCCGGCUGUAAACUAAAAUUUGGCCUAGUUGUAAAAGGCCAGUGACUUCAUCAGGAAUGUGGAUCAAAGGAAAACUGAUAUUGAGAGUGAGUGAAAAAACUGUUUGAACGUGGAGUAGAAUGUUUUUGAGGUGGAAUGUUACGAGGAGUAACAAAAUAUCUAAGUCUUUUAUGAGAAAUCUUCAUGAUCGAUCUAUCUCUAAGCCAUAAAAGUUUAUUAGUCAUCCUUCUACGUUCAUAUGAAUGAAAUUUAUUCAGUUUUUUUAAUUGCGUGAUAAAAAAUACAUUAUAUACUCGAAAUGGUAAAGUUCUUAUAAUUGUAUUAUUGAUUUUAUUGAUUUUACUAAUGGUGAGUUUGCGGUAUUUAUGAAGGUCGAUUAUUUCAAGUCGCAAUAUGUCGCUCGCUUGUUGUCAAAAACACAUCUCUGUUUAUGAUUGUGAAAGAUGACUUGCGGGAAGCAACAAGAACGGUAAUUUAAAUGUUGUGGUAACAGAUCUUCAUUUUUGCAAGAAGAAAGAAACUUAAUUCGAUUGUGUAUUUUGACAAGGAUUCUGUUAAGUUUAAUCCAACUUUUUAAAUUAUUAACUAUAGAUGUUCCAAAAUGUAUAUGUAUGGACUUAAAGGUCCAGUGAUGGAAAUUUCGCAUUCUUCCGCCAACGAUAAUUGAUAAAUAAUAAAGUUUGAAAUAAUCAGCUCCAGAAAUUCUUAUUAAGACAGAUAUAUGUAUGGCUGUAUGGAGCGGACACAGAUGUCGAUGUUGCGGAUAAAGAAUCUUCUUCAAAGGUAGCUCGUAUCAAGAUGGAAUCAAUUAUG